UUAUUAUGACUCCCGCAAUAUACAUAUCUAACAUGGAAUAAUAUAGCGACUAUUAACAUGGUCUUUGAGCAAGGAUGACACCAAAAGCUUGAGACUUUCCAUUGUUUU
This is a small nuclear RNA of Trichosurus vulpecula (common brushtail), 108 nucleotides long. The record is from RefSeq and is a predicted model, not a curated record. NCBI's taxonomy places the organism in Eukaryota, Metazoa, Chordata, Mammalia, Diprotodontia, Phalangeridae.